This 446-nucleotide ribosomal RNA is filed under the name uncultured bacterium. Its description in RNAcentral is "partial 16S ribosomal RNA". It matches the Rfam family "Bacterial small subunit ribosomal RNA", at positions 328 to 792 of the family's 1533-position model. The record is from RNAcentral.
AAACCAGACUCCUACGGGAGGCAGCAGUGGGGAAUAUUGCGCAAUGGGCGAAAGCCUGACGCAGCGACGCCGCGUGAGGGAAGACGGUUUUCGGAUUGUAAACCUCUGUCCUCUGUGAAGAUGAUGACGGUAGCAGAGGAGGAAGCUCCGGCUAACUACGUGCCAGCAGCCGCGGUAAUACGUAGGGAGCGAGCGUUGUCCGGAUUUAUUGGGUUUAAAGGGUGCGCAGGCGGCACGGCAAGCCGGCGGUCAAAUCGCGGGGCUCAACCCCGCCCAGCCGUCGGAACUGCCGGGCUAGAGUGGGCGAGAAGUGCGCGGAAUGCGUGGUGUAGCGGUGAAAUGCAUAGAUAUCACGCAGAACUCCGAUUGCGAAGGCAGCGCACCGGCGCCCUACUGACGCUCAGGCACGAAAGCGUGGGUAUCGAACAGGAUUAGAUACCCCAGUA